This 512-nucleotide ribosomal RNA is filed under the name uncultured bacterium. RNAcentral describes it as "partial 16S ribosomal RNA". It matches the Rfam family "Bacterial small subunit ribosomal RNA", at positions 28 to 507 of the family's 1533-position model. The record is from RNAcentral.
GAUGAACGCUGGCGGCGUGCCUAAUACAUGCAAGUCGAACGAAACUUCUUUAUCACCGAGUGCUUGCACUCACCGAUAAAGAGUUGAGUGGCGAACGGGUGAGUAACACGUGGGCAACCUGCCCAAAAGAGGGGGAUAACACUUGGAAACAGGUGCUAAUACCGCAUAACCAUAGUUACCGCAUGGUAACUAUGUAAAAGGUGGCUAUACUACCGCUUUUGGAUGGGCCCGCGGCGCAUUAGCUAGUUGGUAGGGUAAAGGCUUACCAAGGCAAUGAUGCGUAGCCGAAUUGAGAGGUUGAUCGGCCACAUUGGGACUGAGACAGGGCCCAAACUCCUACGGGAGGCAGCAGUAGGGAAUCUUCCACAAUGGGCGAAAGCCUGAUGGAGCAACGCCGCGUGGGUGAAGAAGGUCUUCGGAUCGUAAAACCCUGUUGUUAGAGAAGAAAGUGCGUGAGAGUAACUGUUCACGUUUCGACGGUAUCUAACCAGAAAGCCACGGCUAACUACGUG